CGUAGUUAGACUCCAGUGCAAGUUAUUUCCUUCAGAACUAAUGUUACAACUCUUUUAUAAAUUACCAGAAAUUCUUGGGCAUAAAACCUUGUGGGCAUCAACUGAGAAAUGCAGUCAGCUUGUGCACAGGGAUAUUUCUGCCAUCUGGAAAGUCCUCUUGUGAAAUCCCCUGAGGACUCCAGGAUAAGCACAGGUAGGCUUCUGAGUGGGCUACAGUCAAUUGUUUUAUAAAGGAUGAAAGAGAAAGGUUUAAGUGAGCUUGGAGGUUACAUGCCAAAUUGAUUUAAGAAGUGUGGAGAAGCCCUUCUUUGCCCUACUUAUUUGGCUUCAAAAUUAUUGUAAUAGUUUCUUUCUACACAAUGUAUGAGUUGUCAAAAAUGGGAGAAGUUGCUUAUUGUAUUUCCUGUCAUUGCACCCAACAACUAUUCCCUCUAUCAGAUCAAAACUAUUUGUGCCUCCAUGGUGUGUGUCUACUCUGCAGGGCUGCAAAUUUCCUAAGAGCCAUCACAUAGGCAGAAAUUAGAGAGUCCUCUCUUGAAGAAGCUCUGUCCUCUAUUCUUUUGCCUGUUUUUCUACACGUGAAAAUGACAUUUAUCUUCUGUGUGUUUGAGGUUCAUUCUGAGGAGGUUUGUGACUUCAGUUCUUCGAGUCAGGCAAUGCAAAGCUUGGAUGCUGUUAUUCAUCAGUUUUGUCCUGCUGCCAUCGUUGUGUUUGCUGUGCACCAAACAUAGUUGGUGAUUCAUAUGCAACAGUGGAGUGUGCCUAAAGACAAAAGUUUUAAGUUCUGACACAAUCACUUGCCUCCACUUCCUUGAGAGCUUGUAUAGUCCCACCAAAACAAGCAGCUAUGCAAGAUUACUUUCCAGUUUCAAUCUGUGAUGUGUGGAGGAAAUAAAUUCCUGAUGUGUUCCUGGUUCAAAUCACUGGCCUCCAAGAAUCCUGUAGUUGGAAAUGCUGAAGACAAAAAUCUCUAAUGGGUCAUUUUGGACAGCCUCCUGCCGGGACAUGAUUAAUCCCUCCAGAGCUAUGUUAGUGCUUGAUGAACAGCAAAGCUAUCUACAGGAUGAUGACCCAGACGUAGCCUAGGCAGGGAAUUUUUUCCUGUGCAUCCAUCUCCUUGCUGCUGAUGAGGAUCCCAUGGAACACAGCUGUUUUCAUUACUGAGGCUCGUGAGGUACUGCUGGGUGGAGGUGCAUGGAUUUUUGUUUCUUUCUCUUCAACAUCUAGCAAAAGGAGAAGUGGGUGUUCUGAGUGCGAGUUUUGGUGAUGGCCCAAAAGCGCAAAUGUUGAUGAGAAAGCAGAGCCACAUCACUGUGAGCUUGGCAGGCCGGGAGCACCAGCCCUGAUUUGGAAGGCUGCUGCCAUCCAGAGUGGUCUGGGACAGAGGGACAUCAAUGAGCCAAGAGGGAUGCCAAAAACUGGUGAGAAGGAUUUGUAAGAAACUACCUCCUUGAGAAGUCAUGUUUCUGCUGAAACCAAAUUACAUGGCAAAAAUUCACCCUGAUUUCACCUAAAUUUUCUUUUCAGAAAGAAAGAAAGAUAGGAAAAAAGUCAAAAUAAUCCAUUUUGACAUUGUUGGGUGUUCAUUUUUCACUUGAAAUUAUUAUUUGCUUUUGUAUUUUAUUUUCUCUAAUACAAUGGAUUAUUUAUUACCUCAUAAAUGUAAACAUUAACUUCAAGAUGGGAUAGUAUGAAUGACCUUGAGUGUUUUUCAAAUAGUUCCUUGUGAGAAAUUUUGAAAUAUCUGUAUUUUAGACCUGGCACAGAAUGAAACUCUUGUCACCAAAGCUCCUUCUGCAUAGCCUCAGGAUAAGUUUCGGAAGCUGAUUUGGGAAGUAAGGAUUGAAUUUGGAUAUGUCUCUCUGGCUAGCUCAGAAACACUUGUGUUUCUGAACAUGGUUUGUUACAUAUUCUGUGAUUUCUAAGAAGUCUUGAUCUGUGGUCCAUUAAAGUAACCAGAAACCUUUUCCCUGGCUGGAGCUUGGACCAUAGAUGCAAAACUUUUGAACACUUCAGUAGCAUCACUAUCAAUACUUGUCUGUUUCUUUAGUAGGGUGAUAGGUGAUAGGCAUUUGUAGGUAGGCAUUACUGGAAGAUGACUUAAGAUGACUACUCUUCUGAUCUUAACAUUAAUGACAAAUAAAAUCCAGACUUCCUAGUCUCCCUGAGCCAUUAAAACAGUAUGCAGUUGUGGCUGAAGUACUCUCCUUCUCCUUUUUUUUUUUUUUUUUUUUCCAGUGAUUUAGUGAAGAUGCAUUUUGCAUUAGGACUUUCUUUCACACCUGUAUAAAUUAUGCUGUUGGGUAGCCAAUGUUUUUAAAACAGCAUAGCUGUCAAUUGCUUAUGUAAUGGCACAUUUUGUAGUGCUAUCAGAUGACAUAUAACUUGUUAAAUUACAUUGACAAAAUAUUGGAGAGAAUUACACUAUAAUUAAAUGACAAUAAUAAUGAGACCAAUAUUAGCUGCUGCCAUCAAUUAUGUAAGAAUUAUAUAAUUUUUAUAAAAACCUUGCCUAGUGGUUGAAAACAUAUUUCAUUAAAAAUUCUGCUGAUGCUUUUAGCAUUUAUAAAGAUGUUAACCUUUGAAUUCACAUUCAGAUGUUUAUACCAUACCCAGAGGAGAAUGUCUACAUGCAAGAAGUUUGCUAAAGCUCUGUGAGGUUCCUUUAAAGACGUUUUAUUAAUUACUUAAAUAUUGUGCAUUUUUGAUCACUCUUUUUGUUUGUUUUAUAUCUGGGUGAUUAACAAGUUGUUAAAAAAAUUCAGGCCUGAUAAUCUAAUAAAAUUGCAUUUCCAUGGAA
Corvus hawaiiensis (hawaiian crow) is the source of this 2800-nucleotide long non-coding RNA. RefSeq lists it as uncharacterized. Lineage: Eukaryota; Metazoa; Chordata; Aves; Passeriformes; Corvidae. The record is from RefSeq and is a predicted model, not a curated record. The transcript has 6 exons.